GGAGAGGAACGGACUGGCUGGGACCUGGCAUGGGUCCAGUCCUGCCACCACUUUGCUCCUGGACAGGGUCAUCUGUGCCUCUUUUCAUCCGGGCAAAUAAGAUUCGACGAUGCAGGAAUCUCUGGGACUUUGCUCCUAGGACUGCCCGGGAAUCUUGACCCAUCGCUAAGUAAGAUGGUGUUUAUAAACACAGGGGAACCUCUCAAAGGAACAAAAAGCAUUUAUUCACUCAACCUGGGACUUCAACUUUAUGGAAGAAGUAAGAGAAGAAGAGGAAG
Long non-coding RNA from Homo sapiens (human), 278 nucleotides. RefSeq lists it as uncharacterized. The record is from RefSeq and is a predicted model, not a curated record. NCBI's taxonomy places the organism in Eukaryota, Metazoa, Chordata, Mammalia, Primates, Hominidae. The transcript has 3 exons.